Molecule: small nucleolar RNA, 107 nt
Organism: Malania oleifera
Lineage: Eukaryota; Viridiplantae; Streptophyta; Magnoliopsida; Santalales; Ximeniaceae
Source: RefSeq, a predicted model, not a curated record
GCCUGAUGAUGUGGACAUUUACAAAGUAGGUCUCUGAAACGCUCCCAGGUCUAAAAAAAAAAGUUCCCCAUCCGUUUGUAUGAAACUUGUGAUUGCACUUCGCAGUU